RNAcentral lists this ribosomal RNA (253 nucleotides) under uncultured bacterium. RNAcentral's name for it is "partial 16S ribosomal RNA". It matches the Rfam family "Bacterial small subunit ribosomal RNA", at positions 524 to 776 of the family's 1533-position model. The record is from RNAcentral.
GACAGAGGGUGCAAACGUUGUUCGGAAUUACUGGGCGUAAAGCGCGUGUAGGCGGCUAUGCAAGUCGGAUGUGAAAGCCCUCGGCUCAACCGGGGAAGUGCACCCGAAACUGCAAAGCUAGAGUCUCGGAGAGGAUCGUGGAAUUCUCGGUGUAGAGGUGAAAUGCGUAGAUAUCGGGAGGAACACCUGUGGCGAAAGCGGCGCACUGGACCACAACUGACGCUGAGGCGCGAAAGCUAGGGGAGCAAACAGG